CUCAGGAUGAACGCUGGCGGCGUGCCUAAUACAUGCAAGUCGAGCGAACAGAUGAGAAGCUUGCUUCUCUGAUGUUAGCGGCGGACGGGUGAGUAACACGUGGGUAACCUACCUAUAAGACUGGGAUAACUCCGGGAAACCGGGGCUAAUACCGGAUAAUAUUUUGAACCGCAUGGUUCAAUAGUGAAAGACGGUUUCGGCUGUCACUUAUAGAUGGACCCGCGCCGUAUUAGCUAGUUGGUAAGGUAAYGGCUUACCAAGGCGACGAUACGUAGCCGACCUGAGAGGGUGAUCGGCCACACUGGAACUGAGACACGGUCCAGACUCCUACGGGAGGCAGCAGUAGGGAAUCUUCCGCAAUGGGCGAAAGCCUGACGGAGCAACGCCGCGUGAGUGAUGAAGGUCUUCGGAUCGUAAAACUCUGUUGUUAGGGAAGAACAAAUUUGUUAGUAACUGAACAAGUCUUGACGGUACCUAACCAGAAAGCCACGGCUAACUACGUGCCAGCAGCCGCGGUAAUACGUAGGUGGCAAGCGUUAUCCGGAAUUAUUGGGCGUAAAGCGCGCGUAGGCGGUUUCUUAAGUCUGAUGUGAAAGCCCACGGCUCAACCGUGGAGGGUCAUUGGAAACUGGGAAACUUGAGUGCAGAAGAGGAGAGUGGAAUUCCAUGUGUAGCGGUGAAAUGCGCAGAGAUAUGGAGGAACACCAGUGGCGAAGGCGGCUCUCUGGUCUGUAACUGACGCUGAUGUGCGAAAGCGUGGGGAUCAAACAGGAUUAGAUACCCUGGUAGUCCACGCCGUAAACGAUGAGUGCUAAGUGUUAGGGGGUUUCCGCCCCUUAGUGCUGCAGCUAACGCAUUAAGCACUCCGCCUGGGGAGUACGACCGCAAGGUUGAAACUCAAAGGAAUUGACGGGGACCCGCACAAGCGGUGGAGCAUGUGGUUUAAUUCGAAGCAACGCGAAGAACCUUACCAAAUCUUGACAUCCUUUGACCGCUCUAGAGAUAGAGUCUUCCCCUUCGGGGGACAAAGUGACAGGUGGUGCAUGGUUGUCGUCAGCUCGUGUCGUGAGAUGUUGGGUUAAGUCCCGCAACGAGCGCAACCCUUAAGCUUAGUUGCCAUCAUUAAGUUGGGCACUCUAGGUUGACUGCCGGUGACAAACCGGAGGAAGGUGGGGAUGACGUCAAAUCAUCAUGCCCCUUAUGAUUUGGGCUACACACGUGCUACAAUGGAUAAUACAAAGGGCAGCGAAUCCGCGAGGCCAAGCAAAUCCCAUAAAAUUAUUCUCAGUUCGGAUUGUAGUCUGCAACUCGACUACAUGAAGCUGGAAUCGCUAGUAAUCGUAGAUCAGCAUGCUACGGUGAAUACGUUCCCGGGUCUUGUACACACCGCCCGUCACACCACGAGAGUUUGUAACACCCGAAGCCGGUGGAGUAACCUUUUAGGAGCUAGCCGUCGAAGUGGGAC
This 1465-nucleotide ribosomal RNA is filed under the name Mammaliicoccus sciuri. RNAcentral's name for it is "Staphylococcus sciuri 16S ribosomal RNA". It matches the Rfam family "Bacterial small subunit ribosomal RNA". The record is from RNAcentral. Lineage: Bacteria; Bacillati; Bacillota; Bacilli; Caryophanales; Staphylococcaceae.